CAAUAGCGUAUAUUAAAGUUGUUGCAGUUAACAAGCUCGUAGUUGGAUUUCUGGUCGGAAGCUCCUGUCCUCUGAUGAGCGUACAAGUGCGUCCUACCAUCCUUCUGUUAACCUUUAAGGCUUUCGCGGCUUUCUAGGGGCUCAGAUAUUUUACCUUGAGAAAAUUAGAGUGUUUCAGGCAGGCUAGCGCCGGAAUACAUUAGCAUGGAAUAAUGGAAUAGGACUUUUGCCUCUUCUGUUGGUCAUGAGGCUCGAGUAAUGAUUAAUAGGGAUAGUUGGGGGCAUUAGUACUUAACUGUCAGAGGUGAAAUUCUCGGAUUUGUUAAAGACUAACUUAUGCGAAAGCAUUUGCCAAGGAUGUUUUCAUUAA
RNAcentral lists this ribosomal RNA (370 nucleotides) under uncultured eukaryote. RNAcentral's name for it is "partial 18S ribosomal RNA". It matches the Rfam family "Eukaryotic small subunit ribosomal RNA", at positions 592 to 976 of the family's 1831-position model. The record is from RNAcentral.